UGAGGAAUCUUCCACAAUGGACGAAAGUCUGAUGGAGCAAUACCGCGUGCAGGAAGACGCUUUUCGGAGUGUAAACUGCUUUUGUCGUCGAAGAUUAUGACUGUAGACGAAGAAUAAGGACCGGCUAACUACGUGCCAGCAGCCGCGGUAAUACGUAGGGUCCAAGCGUUAUCCGGAAUUACUGGGCGUAAAGCGUACGCAGAUGGCGUGAUAGGUGAGUUGUGAAAUCUUGUGGCUCAACCAUAUAGAC
This 250-nucleotide ribosomal RNA is filed under the name uncultured bacterium. RNAcentral's name for it is "partial 16S ribosomal RNA". It matches the Rfam family "Bacterial small subunit ribosomal RNA", at positions 355 to 622 of the family's 1533-position model. The record is from RNAcentral.